RNAcentral lists this ribosomal RNA (468 nucleotides) under uncultured bacterium. RNAcentral's name for it is "partial 16S ribosomal RNA". It matches the Rfam family "Bacterial small subunit ribosomal RNA", at positions 28 to 507 of the family's 1533-position model. The record is from RNAcentral.
GACGAACGCUGGCGGCGUGCUUAACACAUGCAAGUCGAACGGAAAGGCCCUGCGCUUGUGGGGUGCUCGAGUGGCGAACGGGUGAGUAACACGCGAGUAACCUGCCCCUGACUGUGGGAUAUCUUUAGGAAACUGGGGCUAAUACCGGAUAGGAUCUCUUGCUGCACGGUGGGGGUUGGAAAGUUUCGGCGGUUGGGGAUGGACUCGCGGCUUACCAGCUUGAUGGUGGGGUAGUGGCGUACCAAGGCUAUGACGGGUAGCCGGCCUGGGCGGGUGGCCGGCCACCUUACGACUACGGUACGGCCCAGACUCCUACGGGAGGCAGCGGUGGAGAAUAUUGCACAAUGAGCGCAAGCCUGAUACAGCAGCGCCGCGUGCGGAAUGACGGCCUUCGGGUUAUGAACCACUUUCGCCUGUGACAAGGCGUGAGUGACGGUAAUGAGUAAGAAAGCCCCGGCUAACUACGUG